RNAcentral lists this long non-coding RNA (231 nucleotides) under Panax ginseng (ginseng). Its description in RNAcentral is "long non-coding RNA (PGIN_LNC016354)". Lineage: Eukaryota; Viridiplantae; Streptophyta; Magnoliopsida; Apiales; Araliaceae. The record is from RNAcentral.
AACAGUGUUAUCGGUAACAAUUACGCCGUUAUUUAUAAAAACUCAUACUUUGUCGUUUUCUUCAUCCGACAGUUAUUCUGUUAUGAGCCCCACGAAUGGCUGCGCCGUUGUACGAAUAUUCCUCGACAAAAAGAAUAUUCCACGACCAAAAGAAUAUUCCUCGACGAAAAUGAAUAUUUUAUAAUCACUUGCUUAUCUUGUAAAAUUUUCACAUUUCACCCAUAACCAAAG